UGAACAGUUCUCCAAAUUGGUCACAAAUCCUUGGCAUGAGGUUUGGCUCUUCUAGCCUUUAAAAUCUCCCAAAAAAACACUUUAAUGCUUUCACAAACAGAGAAGCUUCUCCACAGGCUUCAACCACUGCUGCAGUGCACUGCUAAGAUUCCUGGCAGGAGGCUCCAGACACUCCAGGGUCCUAAUGUUAUUUUGGAUUCACCACCACCUUAUAUCCGUCCUGUGCAAACAGCUUGUAGCUGCAGGGUCCAGCCCGAGUAAGAAACAUCCGGCACAACCCAUCAAACCUGGAGGGAAUGCAGUGGUGGGCAUGGAGUUUUAUAAACAGGAACACAAACAUUCAAAGACAUCCAUAUCAUGGGCAAAUUUGACAGACUUGUUUAAGCUGUUUUGCAUGCCUAUUAUUUAUCCAUCAGUUUAGUGUGUUUCUUCCAAGAAGCAUAUGGCAACAGUGACCACUGCAGCCACCCAGACCUGUGUGAAAUGCUGCAAAGCACUGACACCUAGUGGGUCUACACUGCCAGUAUUACAUUUCAAAGAACAAUGGGUCCUUUGUGUCAGAGAUUUCUUUUACUGUGGUAAAAUUUAAAAGAGAAAAAUGAGUCAGCACAUAAUGAGUUGUGACCACAGACUAUCCAGCAAAAACACUUUGCAGAGAUGCUGUGAGAAAAUAAAAUCUCAAAAAUCUUGUCUUGAUUUUAGGGCCUCGAAAAUACUUUCUAUUUAUAUUAUUGUUAAUGAGCUCACAUUUAGGAUGAAUCUGUUUUAUUUUCUGAAAUGAGGCUGUAGCCCUUAAAGAAGCAGACAAGAUGCCACUUUAAACAUGCUUUGUUAUGUGUUAAUUCAACCAGGGUUGGCAGAUAUUUCUAUAAUUCUACAAUUUGUUACCUUUAAUGGUUUUAAUUGCACUGAGAUGUUUGGCAAGACUGGAGGCACUUACUUUAGUGCUUUUGGUGUGGCUCACAUAGCAACAGUCACACAACAGUAAUUCCUAAUCUGUCAAAUGUUGAGCUCCAGUCCAAAAAUGUUGUCAUACCAAAGGCUUGCACGCAGCCAUAACUUAACUAAAAACAGACAUCCAGUGGGAGAAAAGGGAAAGAGACAACUACAAAGACUAGAUUCAAAAUUAAUGAACAGAAGAAACACAGCAGUCAUCCUGAAUGUUUUUAGACACCAUCAAACUCACACACACAACCACGCCAUAGGCAUGCACAUGUGUGUGACGCACACACUUUUGCCCAGAAGCGUUUUACAUAAUUCUUUGGCAAGUUUGCCGCAAGGUGCCACUGUUUCCCCAAUUUCUGUGGAAUUUUUUAACAGCAAAAAUGUUUGUCUUAAAGCAUUGUUUUGUUUCCACCAUUCAGUAAGAAUUCGAUAAUGCUACUUUCACUAGUCACAGGGCUGACGUGUUGAGAAAUGUUCAGUCACAUUUGGCAUAUAUAUUCAUCCAGGCUGCAGACAUCAAGAGAUGGGAGAGGAGAGACAGACAGGGAAAGAGAGGGAUGACUUGCAUUUAGAUAAAAUGUAUCUGGAUCAAAUAAAUUUCAACUAUAAGUUUUAUGUUUGUUUGUUGGUCCCUUGCUUCAGGGUAUUUCCUUCACUUACCCCAUUGUCAAUGUCUGUCAUCCUUACUGUAUCUCUAUAAAUGUCCAU
This is a long non-coding RNA of Micropterus dolomieu (smallmouth bass), 1653 nucleotides long. RefSeq lists it as uncharacterized. The record is from RefSeq and is a predicted model, not a curated record. The transcript has 3 exons. Lineage: Eukaryota; Metazoa; Chordata; Actinopteri; Centrarchiformes; Centrarchidae.